RNAcentral lists this ribosomal RNA (1309 nucleotides) under Staphylococcus aureus. Its description in RNAcentral is "partial 23S ribosomal RNA". It matches the Rfam family "Bacterial large subunit ribosomal RNA", at positions 419 to 1732 of the family's 2925-position model. The record is from RNAcentral. Lineage: Bacteria; Bacillati; Bacillota; Bacilli; Caryophanales; Staphylococcaceae.
GGAGCACGUGAAAUUCCGUCGGAAUCUGGGAGGACCAUCUCCUAAGGCUAAAUACUCUCUAGUGACCGAUAGUGAACCAGUACCGUGAGGGAAAGGUGAAAAGCACCCCGGAAGGGGAGUGAAAUAGAACCUGAAACCGUGUGCUUACAAGUAGUCAGAGCCCGUUAAUGGGUGAUGGCGUGCCUUUUGUAGAAUGAACCGGCGAGUUACGAUUUGAUGCAAGGUUAAGCAGUAAAUGUGGAGCCGUAGCGAAAGCGAGUCUGAAUAGGGCGUUUAGUAUUUGGUCGUAGACCCGAAACCAGGUGAUCUACCCUUGGUCAGGUUGAAGUUCAGGUAACACUGAAUGGAGGACCGAACCGACUUACGUUGAAAAGUGAGCGGAUGAACUGAGGGUAGCGGAGAAAUUCCAAUCGAACCUGGAGAUAGCUGGUUCUCUCCGAAAUAGCUUUAGGGCUAGCCUCAAGUGAUGAUUAUUGGAGGUAGAGCACUGUUUGGACGAGGGGCCCCUCUCGGGUUACCGAAUUCAGACAAACUCCGAAUGCCAAUUAAUUUAACUUGGGAGUCAGAACAUGGGUGAUAAGGUCCGUGUUCGAAAGGGAAACAGCCCAGACCACCAGCUAAGGUCCCAAAAUAUAUGUUAAGUGGAAAAGGAUGUGGCGUUGCCCAGACAACUAGGAUGUUGGCUUAGAAGCAGCCAUCAUUUAAAGAGUGCGUAAUAGCUCACUAGUCGAGUGACACUGCGCCGAAAAUGUACCGGGGCUAAACAUAUUACCGAAGCUGUGGAUUGUCCUUUGGACAAUGGUAGGAGAGCGUUCUAAGGGCGUUGAAGCAUGAUCGUAAGGACAUGUGGAGCGCUUAGAAGUGAGAAUGCCGGUGUGAGUAGCGAAAGACGGGUGAGAAUCCCGUCCACCGAUUGACUAAGGUUUCCAGAGGAAGGCUCGUCCGCUCUGGGUUAGUCGGGUCCUAAGCUGAGGCCGACAGGCGUAGGCGAUGGAUAACAGGUUGAUAUUCCUGUACCACCUAUAAUCGUUUUAAUCGAUGGGGGGACGCAGUAGGAUAGGCGAAGCGUGCGAUUGGAUUGCACGUCUAAGCAGUAAGGCUGAGUAUUAGGCAAAUCCGGUACUCGUUAAGGCUGAGCUGUGAUGGGGAGAAGACAUUGAGUCUUCGAGUCGUUGAUUUCACACUGCCGAGAAAAGCCUCUAGAUAGAAAAUAGGUGCCCGUACCGCAAACCGACACAGGUAGUCAAGAUGAGAAUUCUAAGGUGAGCGAGCGAACUCUCGUUAAGGAACUCGGCAAAAUGACCCCGUA